GUGAUGAAAAUCAAGCUACAGCCACCUUCUGCUACAGAUCUACCACCUUAUAACCCCUAUUCUUCCCCCAGCAGCCAUUACUCAAGUCAUGUUGCUGGCAAACCCUAACAAAGAAAAUGUUCGUCUCAAGUACAAGAUAACGUACAUCGUCGAAGAUCAGACUCACACCGACCUCGGGGAAGUAAAUAAUUUACUUGAACAUAGAUGAUUUUUCAAAAGUUUAAAUUAAGAAAUAUAUAAACAAUAGAGAAUAAAUAUAUAUGGAAUUAUCUUACAUUGAAAUGGUAAAAGUCCAUCUUUCAGUUUACUUUUCCGAUAUUGUAGUAACUUGUAAAGAAUAUCCUUUUUUUUUUUCAGUAAUUAGUGAAUUUUCAUCCAGGGAUGUGAUCUAGUGUUUGUAUAUUAAGAUUAUUUUUUAUUAGGGCAUUAUAAUUCAAAUGUACCAGCCUUAGAUAUUAGACUGCAUAUCGUAUCUGACUACUAGAACUUGUGUUUCUCUAACCCUAAAUCUGACAGUUGUUUUUAAAGAAAAUAGAAUAUUGGAUUAAUUAUUAUUUUCAAAGUCUCUUAGUAAAAUGUGAAAUUAUACAUCAAAGUUUAUAGCUGAAAUAAGAGGCAUUGCUAGACACUCGCACAUGGGGCCUGUGAAUAUUGAGUCAUGAUUGAUGUUUUACUAAAACGUUGAAAAUUCCCUUGCCUGAUCCACAAAUCUUUUAAGUACCUAGCAGUGCCUCUGGCUGAAAUAAUUUAAAGUUUUGCUUUAGUGACAGAUUAAAAAAUUUCCUGUUAUGCUUAUCAUAUUAAACUCAACGUCUCAGUGUAUUAUCACACUUAGUAAUAUAAUAGGCAAACUUACACGGGGUCCUUUUGUGGCAAGGUGAUUGAUUCUUGAAUUACGCUUGUCAGCUGUAAUGUUAAAAUAAAACAUGAAAAGUUUCAUGUUUCCAGUGCUGAAAUGCUACUGGUCUUUGCUCCUGUAAGGACUCUUUUUUUCCCACCCCCUUCACCACACCCACAGCCCUUAUUUAGAUAGUUGGUGACCCCUUAUUUGUAAAAUUCUAGAUCCGCCACUGGACAUUGUCAUGACUUAUCCAUCAGUAGCAUAAUCAGAGAUUGGUUGAUGUGCCGUUAACAAUGGUAGUUUUAAACUACAAGCUUUAGGAUUAACUGUUGGUUUCAUCUGUUCAGAAGAUGUGUUGAAACAUAACCUGUUAGUUGAUUACAAGUAUUAAGUACUGGAAAGGAAAGCUAAAGUUUAGUUCUGUUGUAAUAUGCAUUCUUUAUUUUUUGAAAUAUAUGUCUAUCUUAGUAACGGGCCAUCAGUGUGCUGUGAUUUAAAAUUUGGUAAUUUUACCAACAGACAUUUCACGCUAACAAGUCAAAUGUUAUCUGUGUUGUAAACAACUAGCUGUAUUUUUAUGCCACUCAAGACAGUUUUUUAUUUCCUUUUCUAGGUAUCUACAAUAAGAUCUAUUUCAAGCUAUUACUCUGUACAAUUUUAAGUAAAACCAAAAUGUCAA
Molecule: long non-coding RNA, 1520 nt
Organism: Limulus polyphemus (Atlantic horseshoe crab)
Lineage: Eukaryota; Metazoa; Arthropoda; Merostomata; Xiphosura; Limulidae
Exons: 2
Source: RefSeq, a predicted model, not a curated record